Neltuma alba is the source of this 573-nucleotide long non-coding RNA. RefSeq lists it as uncharacterized. The record is from RefSeq and is a predicted model, not a curated record. The transcript has 3 exons. NCBI's taxonomy places the organism in Eukaryota, Viridiplantae, Streptophyta, Magnoliopsida, Fabales, Fabaceae.
GCACAGAGAUUUUGUGGGUAAGAAAGACCGCUGCACAAAUGAUUUGCUGGGAGAUGAACAUAGCGUCCAUGCGAAUGCCUUUCUACUCCUUGAAAGUGCUUGAAAAUAUCCAGCAUCCCACUAUCUUAGGGUCAGAGGAAUGGACUUGACCUUGAUUGGCAUCUAUGCCGUUAUUAACACUUCCAUCACAUGGUUUGCUCCAAGCAGGGUUUCCAUUGUCAUUUUGCCCAAAAUGACUACUACUUUCUAAGCCUCAGGAAUCAUCUCUCUUCUAUUCGGAUGAAGCAUCAUGGUAUAAAAAUUGGGUUGUAGGACAAUGAACCAAAUUAUGAAAGUUUGUUACUGCAGUACAAUGACCAUGAAUUUAUGUAGGACCUAAAUGACUACUAUGUAUUAUUAUUCAUUUCUCAUGUGGAGCUGAUUAUGGCAUUGGACCAUAUUAUUGUAAUGGUUGGAUUAGUAAAUGAAAAUACUAUUAGGUAUACUAAAUAUGUAUUGUAUAUAUUUUACAAUUGGUAUACAUUUACAAUUAGUAUUGGCUUGUUGAGUAGUAAUACAAGGAUCAAUAUUGUU